GACUGCUCUGGUGGCCUAAGUGGGUAGAGCACCAGCCUUAGAUGCUGGAGGUUGUUGGUUUGAACCCCAGACAAGUCA
Molecule: non-coding RNA, 78 nt
Organism: Potamilus streckersoni
Lineage: Eukaryota; Metazoa; Mollusca; Bivalvia; Unionida; Unionidae
Source: the annotation of a GenBank genome assembly